UAUUAAGAAUUCAAUUCAUCUGUACUGUUAAAAAUUGACGUGGUUGACAGAAUAACCAGAUAGUAAAACAUUGCGUGUCACAUUUAUCUCAUGCUGACAUACAAUAACUAAUUUUUAACAAUAGAAAUAGAUGAAUUUUUUAACA
Non-coding RNA from Gossypium arboreum, 145 nucleotides. The record is from Rfam. NCBI's taxonomy places the organism in Eukaryota, Viridiplantae, Streptophyta, Magnoliopsida, Malvales, Malvaceae.